This 1075-nucleotide long non-coding RNA is filed under the name Fragaria vesca (wild strawberry). RNAcentral's name for it is "long non-coding RNA (FVES_LNC004042)". Lineage: Eukaryota; Viridiplantae; Streptophyta; Magnoliopsida; Rosales; Rosaceae. The record is from RNAcentral.
GGAACCAGGCAGGACUCGUUUAGUGGUCACGGAGAGCGAACUCCCAAUCGACCCCUUCACUGAGAAGAGAUAUCAGUCUAUGACCUUGAGAUCCAGUUAAACAAACCUGAGAACCAUAUCUAUGAAAAUAACUUGCCCCUUACUCAGUUGAGAACAAACUCGGGUCACUAGACCGGUCUACAAGUGUUAAUCAAAGCCGCCCUCAACCUCAUGAGAUCAUAAGAUAACAUGAAGGGUUAAGGCUAAGAUUAACAAAAGUGGCUUCCCCCUACAUAUUUCACUUUAGAAGCUACAAUAAACUCAAACAUACAUAAAACUAUAAACUUCCUAGAAAUUAAACUAAGUUAUUACAACAUGCAUUCAAGCACACAAAUCAAAACCGAAACUUCCAAAAAUUAAAAAUACAAAUCGGCCAAAAUUAAUUACAAGCCGAAAACCAAUAAAUAAAUAAAAACUAUAUAUCUUCUUCGAUUCUUCUUGGCUUCCCCGGCAACGGCGCCAAAAAUUGACGUGUCGCGUAACCGGGGUCAAACAACUUCAAUUUAAUUACCCUGCAACCGUAGUAAUAUGGACAAGUAGGGAUCGUUCUAGCCGGGGAGACCAAAGGGCUAUCGAAAGAAGAGAAAUCAAACAACUUAUAAACAAGUAUUCACAUAUAUACAUCGAAAUAUUGGGGGGUUUGAGAUUGAUUAAUUCUAACAAAUAAUCUACUGAAAAUUAAACCUAAGAUUAUUAUAUACAAAUGAUCAACAUACUCAUGCAACACAUAACACGAAAAACCAUCAAGAACACAUAACAACUUCAUGCAAGGCCGGGCAGCAACGUUCAAAUUAUCCUAGACUCUAACCAAUUCCGAUUCUAAUUAGAGCCGUUGCGGUUAUCUAAUUGUUAAGACUCCUCAAGUAUUUAGAACCAUCUUUGCGCUUGAUCCUAAACAUGAAUGCUAACUCAUUUAAAGACACGUUGCGUAGAGAUUAAACAAGAAAACACUUUAGCACACGAGUCAAUCGGAACAUGAUCUAAGGCAUGGCGUCACUCAUCCAUUAGCAUGCAAAUUAUCAGAAUUAUAUCCGCC